This 643-nucleotide unclassified non-coding RNA is filed under the name Hevea brasiliensis (rubber tree). Lineage: Eukaryota; Viridiplantae; Streptophyta; Magnoliopsida; Malpighiales; Euphorbiaceae. The record is from RNAcentral.
GAAAAUACUAUGGCUUUCUCACCAACUACUUUAACUGAACCAUUAACAUUUUCAUCCAGAAGUAAAUUUCUCUUAUCAGUAUUAUCAUUAACUGAAUUUCCAGAACUACACAAGUUCUCAUGACAGCCGGCAUUUCCAUCAAAAGAGUUCUCUAAAGAACCAUUUGUAGAUGUACAAUCCCCUGGUUUGGUCAGUGAUAGCAAGACUUCAAGCGCAGCCCUAAUUUUUGAGGAAUCAUGUGGACAACCCUCAGAAUAAGGCUUUGUUGCCCGACCAAGUUCAAAGCCAGAACCAUCUUGAGCAGGCUGGUCAGAGAGAGAACUGUUUAAUGUGGAUUUGGAAAACACUGAAGAUUUAUUUAGUCGAACUUUGCAUUUUGACGCAGGGCAUUGGUUGUCAUCACCAGUGAGAUGUUCACAUAUGCAUUGGUUACAGAACACAUGACCACAGAUUGAAACAACAGCAUCUUCCGGUGGAUCAUUGCAGAUGCCACAGAUUGCCAAAGAUGCUUCUAGGCAAUUCCAAAGGCACAUCUGUUUCUCCCUGGGGAGCUUCUUUGCCAUCUCAGUUGAGGAUUUUCCAAAAGAAAUUGAAUCUAAACCCCUAACAAGAAGAGGAUGAUCACAAGCUUGACGAAGACGCA